UAUGUGAUCGUCUCUCGCAUAUCAAUAAGCGGAGGAAAAGAAACUAACAAGGAUUCCCCUAGUAACGGCGAGUGAAGCGGGAAGAGCUCAAAUUUGAAAUCUUAAAGGGUUUCCCUUUACGAAUUGUAGUUUAAAGAAGUGUUUUCUGUUGAGGUUUUGGUAAAAGUUCUUUGGAAUAGGACAUCAUAGAGGGUGAGAAUCCCGUAUUUGACCUUUACUUUCAACUUUGUGAUACACUUUCAAAGAGUCGGAUUGUUUGGGAAUGCAGUCCAAAAUGGGUGGUAAAUUUCAUCUAAAGCUAAAUAUUGGCGAGAGACCGAUAGCGAACAAGUACCGUGAGGGAAAGAUGAAAAGAACUUUGAAAAGAGAGUUAAACAGUACGUGAAAUUGUCAAAAGGGAAGCGUUUGACACCAGUGUUGUUUUUCUGAAAAUCAAUUAAAGAACUGUUUAUGCUAAGCUGUUUAGACUUUAUCAGCUAUCUGUUUAGUUUUAGGCUUUUCUUUAAUGCACUUUUCAGUUAACAAGUCAACAUCAAUUUCCUUUGCUGUAAAAAAGCUUGAGGAAGGUGGCUUGAGAUUCGUCUUAAGUGUUUAUAGCCUCUUGCCUAUGCAGUCGGAGAGAUUGAGGUCUGCAGCGUAGAUCCUUCGGGGCUAAAUGCAUUUGUGCUAAGUUAUAGCAUUUUAUAGACAACUUGUUGACUAUGAUUUGUCUUGUAGCUUACUCGCUUAUGUUAUUUUACCUACGCUUAGGAUGUUGAUCUACAGAGCGAGAGU
Molecule: ribosomal RNA, 774 nt
Filed under: uncultured Neocallimastigales
Lineage: Eukaryota; Fungi; Neocallimastigomycota; Neocallimastigomycetes; Neocallimastigales
Description: partial large subunit ribosomal RNA
Rfam family: Eukaryotic large subunit ribosomal RNA
Source: RNAcentral